Molecule: ribosomal RNA, 426 nt
Filed under: uncultured bacterium
Lineage: Bacteria
Description: partial 16S ribosomal RNA
Rfam family: Bacterial small subunit ribosomal RNA
Source: RNAcentral
GUGGGGAAUAUUGCGCAAUGGGGGAAACCCUGACGCAGCAACGCCGCGUGAGUGAUGAAGGCUUUCGAGUCGUAAAACUCUGUCUUUGGGGACGAAUAAUGACGGUACCCAAGGAGGAAGCCCCGGCUAACUACGUGCCAGCAGCCGCGGUAAUACGUAGGGGGCAAGCGUUGUCCGGAAUCACUGGGCGUAAAGGGCGCGUAGGCGGUUUGUUAAGUCAGGUGUGAAAGUUUUCAGCUUAACUGGAAAAGUGCACUUGAAACUAACUUACUUGAGUACUGGAGAGGUAAGCGGAAUUCCUAGUGUAGCGGUGAAAUGCGUAGAUAUUAGGAAGAACACCGGUGGCGAAGGCGGCUUACUGGACAGAGACUGACGCUGAGGCGCGAAAGCGUGGGGAGCGAACAGGAUUAGAUACCCGUGUAGUCC